UGCGGGAAGAAGGCCUUCGGGUUGUAAACCGCUUUUGUCAGGGAAGAAAAGGUUCUGGCUAAUACCUGGGACUCAUGACGGUACCUGAAGAAUAAGCACCGGCUAACUACGUGCCAGCAGCCGCGGUAAUACGUAGGGUGCAAGCGUUAAUCGGAAUUACCGGGCGUAAAGCGUGCGCAGGCGGUUAUGCAAGACAGAGGUGAAAUCCCCGGGCUCAACCUGGGAACUGCCUUUGUGACUGCAUAGCUAGAGUGCGGCAGAGGGGGAUGGAAUUCCGCGUGUAGCAGUGAAAUGCGUAGAUAUGCGGAGGAACACCGAUGGCGAAGGCAAUCCCCUGGGCCUGCACUGACGCUCAUGCACGAAAGCGUGGGGAGCAAACAGGAUUAGAUACCCUGGUAGUCCACGCCCUAAACGA
RNAcentral lists this ribosomal RNA (415 nucleotides) under uncultured bacterium. Its description in RNAcentral is "bacterial SSU rRNA". It matches the Rfam family "Bacterial small subunit ribosomal RNA", at positions 402 to 809 of the family's 1533-position model. The record is from RNAcentral.